AUGCAUGUGCAAGUUCAGCUUGAAAAAGUGAAACCGCGAAUGGCUCAUUAAAUCAGUUACUAUCCCUUGGCUUACUAUCUAGUAACAAGGAUAACUGCGGUAACCCUGCAGCUAAUACUUGAAGAUUACUUUUAGUGCUGACUUACCGCCUAGUAAUUGGGCAGUCAGGAACUUUUACUAGAAAUCGCCGGGUGGCCUAGGUUCAGUAGAGUUAUCUUCUCUAUUGAUUAAGUCAUGUUUGGGAUGAAUCAAAGUAACUGACCGAUCCUAUUAGGGGAGUUUCCCUGAGGACGAAGCCUACGAGUUUCUGACCUAUCAACCUAUGACGGUAGUGUAACGGACUACCGUGGUUGUGACGGGUAACGGGGAAUCAGGGUUCGAUUCCGGAGAAGGAGCCUUAGAAACGGCUACUACAUCCAAGGAAGGCAGCAGGCACGCAAAUUACCCAAUCCCAGCUCGGGGAGGUAGUGACGAGAAAUACCAAUAUGAACCUAAGGGUUUGUAAUUGGAAUGGAAGUUAAACUAAAGAUUCUCUUGAGGAUCUAGUGGAGGGCAAGUCUGGUGCCAGCAGCCGCGGUAAUACCAGCCUCCACAAGCAUAUACGAAAGUUGCUGCGGUUAAAAAGCUCAUAGUUGGAUCUGUUUACAGUGUUACGGUAACAUCUAGUUGGUCGAGACCGGCCCUCUAGCGUAAUGCUUAACCUUCGCAUCGUGGAAAUUGUUUGCACUUCAGUGUGUUGAACUAUGAAAACGAUGUUUUCACUUUGAGUAAAUUAGAGUGCUUAGAGCGUCCUUUGGGAUUGAAUAAUGAAGCAUGGAAUAAUGGAGAAAGACCAGCAUUGUCGAAAAGCCGGUGGCUGACAUGCGGUAAUGAUUGAAAGGAACAGGCGGGGGCAUUUGUAUUGCUGGGUUAGGGGUGAAAUCCUGGGAUCCCAGCAAGACAAACUACUGCGAAAGCAUUUGUCCAGAAUGUUUUCAUUAAUCAAGAACGAAAGUUAGAGUAUUAAAGAGGAUUAGAUACCCUCGUAAUUCUAACCAUAAACUAUACCAACUUACAAUCUGUCAAAGUCCUGACCGACUUGACAGGUGAUUAACCGGGAAACCAAAGUUUAUUGGUUCCGGGGGAAGUAUGGUUGCAAAAUCGAAACUUAAAGGAAUUGACGGAAGGGCACCACCAGGAGUGGAGCCUGCGGCUUAAUUUGACUCAACACGGGAAAACUUACCAGGUCCAGACAUUUUAAGGAUUGACAGAUUGAAUAUCUCUCAUGAUUAUAUGGGCGGUGGUGCAUGGCCGUUCUUAGUUAGUGGAGUGAUCUGUCUGGUUAAUUCCGAUAACGAACGAGAUCUCCCCCUUUCUAAAUAAUAAUCUUAUACUCACCCAGUGCAAAAAUGUUUCUUAGAGGAACAAUGUGGGAAAAAUACCACAAGAGAAGUGAGGCUAUAACAGGUCUGUGAUGCCCUUAGAUGUCCUGGACCGCACGCGCGCUACAUUGAAUAGAUCAAAAAGUUGACGAAAUCAUGGAACGCCGGGCCGAAACGGUCUGGCAAACCAUGCAAACCCUGUUGCCAUCUUAAACGGGGAUCGGUUCUUGUAAUAGGACCGUGAACCAGGAAUUCCUAGUAAUUGUUCGUCAACAGCGAACAGUGAUUAUGUCCCUGCCCUUUGUACACACCGCCCGUCGCUACUACUGAUUGGAUGAUUAAGCAAGAACCUCGGAACCUCGCUAUCGAAACUACGGUUGAGAUAAUGAGCGGAAGAGGAUCAAGCUUAUUUGUCUA
RNAcentral lists this ribosomal RNA (1778 nucleotides) under Neochildia fusca. RNAcentral describes it as "SSU rRNA". It matches the Rfam family "Eukaryotic small subunit ribosomal RNA". Lineage: Eukaryota; Metazoa; Xenacoelomorpha; Acoela; Anaperidae. The record is from RNAcentral.